AAAUGUGAGGUCACCCUUUGCGGGAACAGGAGGCGAGCCGGAGGAAGUUCCUUUUCCUCUCUCCAGCCUCGCCGUCUCAGCAGAGCGAAACAGGGGAGCCCCUGGCAAGCAAAUGUUGGAAGGUUCCCAGCCCAGCGUCACAGCAGAGCAGAGAGGGUAGGGUUUGGAGCUGAGAUAUGAUUGCUUCACAGCCCACAAAGGCGGUGUCUGCCAGGUUUCUCCAUUGUGGAAGUGUCUUUUCCCCUUGGAAUGAAUGCAUUCUCUGGGGGUCGGGGGUGGCGAUGCUUUGAGAUUGUGUGAAUGUCACAUGCUGCCACAGUCUUUCUGCCAAUGGCCUUAGUAUCUACUAAUGAAUCUCACCUGAAUCAGUUAUUAUGAAGGUGGUUGUAAAAUUAUUUUCUAUUUCUCUCAUUCCUUGUACAUCCGUUAGUUGGCAUUCUUUGGUAAAGAAGAGCUUUCCCUUCUCCCUGGCCCCCAUCCCUGGGAAAUGUGGUUUUUAAGUGGAUGGGCCACAUACCCAGCCAAAGUUGGAGUUCUAUCUAUAAGGACUUGGGGGAGAGCAAGUACUGGUGUCCAUGGCUAGCACUCUGUCACAGGGCUAAGCCCAGAGAGUCUUACUACUGCAGUUGAAUCCACGAUUGACUUGAAUUGUAAAAACUUAAAGUAAAAAGAAGGAAUUAGUGCUUCACACAUGGAAGGAUGGGAAAAGAUAACCUGAAUUCACAGGUGGUGUCUGGUGUUUCAGGACUGUCAUUGUCCUGGGGGAUUAACUGGGCCAGUGGUUCUCAACCUUGGCUGCUGACAUAGUUUGGAUGUUUGUCUCCUCCAAAUCUCAUGUGGAAAAGUGAUCCCCAAGGUUUGAGGUGGGGCCUAGUGGGAGGUGUUUGGGUCAUGGGGUCAGAUCCCUUGUGAAUGGGUGACCUGCCCUUGGUAAUGAGUUAGUUCUUGUUCUAUUAGUUCAUCAACAGUUGGUUGUUAAAAAGGAUAUGGGGGCUGGGCGUGGUGGCUCAUGCCUGUAAUCCCAGCACUUUGGGAGGCCGAAGCAGGCAGAUUACCUGAGGUCAGGAGUUUGAGACCAUCCUGGCCAACAUGAUGAAACCCCGUCUCUACUAAAAAUACAAAAAUUAGCCAGGCGUCAUGGCCUGUGCCUGUAAUCCCAGCUACUUGGGAGGCUGAGGCAGGAGAAUUGUUUGAACUCAGGAGGUGGAGGUUGCAGUGAGCCGAGACUGCGCCACUGCACUCUAGCUUGGGUGACAGAGUGAGACUCCAUCUUAAAAAAAAAAAAAAAAAAAAAAGCCAGGCUCGUUGACUGACACCUGUAAUCCCAGCACUUUGGGAGGCUGAGGCAGGUGGAUUGUCUGAGGUCGGGAGUUAGAGACCAGCCUGAUCAACAUGGAGAAACCCCAUCUCUAUUAAAAAUACAAAAUUAGCCAGGUAUGGUGGCUCGUGCCUUUAAUCCCAGCUACUCGGGAGGCUGAGGCAGGAGAAUCGCUUGAACCCAGGAGGCAGAGGUUGUGGUGAGCCGAGAUCGCACCAUUCCACUCCAGCCUGGGCAACAAGAGGGAAACUCUAUCUCAAAAAAAAAAAAAAAAAAAAAAAGAGAAUAUGGGGGCUUGGCGUGGUGGCUCAUGCCUGCAAUUUCAGCCCUUUAAGAGGCUGAGGCGGGAGGAUCGCUUGAGCCCAGGAGUUUGAGACCAGCCUGGGCAAUAUAAUGAGACCUAAUCUCUAAAAAAAUUAAACAAAAAAGGAUCUGGGACCCCCUGCUCUCUCUCUUGCUCCCUUUCUCAUUGUGUGACAUGUCUGUUCCCCUUUUGCCUUCUUCUAUGAGUGAAAGCUUCCUGUAGCCUCACUAGAAGCCGAACAGAUGCUGGUGCCACGUUUGUACAGCCUGCAGAACUAUUCCAAAGCUCUUGAGCUGCAUGAAGUCACUGGAACACAGUAGAGCUUCUGAACCUGUAGCUGGAGAUGAGUAUCACCAGCCAACAUCCUUGGCAGAGCUGUGAGCCAACAGCCAGCCCCAGCCUGCCAGCCGUGUGAGCAAGCAGUCUUGGAAGGUGAUUCUACAGCCCCAGCUGAAACACUCCAACUGAUGCCAUGUGAGCCGAGAAGAGCAGCCAAACUGAGCCCUUCUCAAAUCCCUGAUCCUCCAAAUGUAGGCAAAAUAAAUUGCUGGUUUUAAGCCACUAAGUUUUGAUAUAGAUUGUUAUGUAAUAAUAGAUAUCAGAGCUCUAGCUAAGGCAGGUGCUGAAGGGAAGAUGUUUUUAUCAUUCAUAGAUAUCACAAAAUAUGUAUAUUUAAUGCAUUUCAAAAUUUUAGUUCUAACCAAUACAAUUCUUUGGAGUUUACUUUUCCCGUUAUAGAAAUGGUACAUUAUAAAUCACCUACCUGCGAGUCUCAAUCUACUCUUGUUAUUUUUCUAUGUUCCGUUCUAGUAUUUGCUUUAAGUGCAUAUUUAAUUUGUAAUUAAAUAUGUAAUUAUGAAAU
RNAcentral lists this long non-coding RNA (2484 nucleotides) under Homo sapiens (human). RNAcentral describes it as "HSALNT0037970". The record is from RNAcentral. Lineage: Eukaryota; Metazoa; Chordata; Mammalia; Primates; Hominidae.